RNAcentral lists this ribosomal RNA (521 nucleotides) under uncultured bacterium. Its description in RNAcentral is "bacterial SSU rRNA". It matches the Rfam family "Bacterial small subunit ribosomal RNA", at positions 777 to 1297 of the family's 1533-position model. The record is from RNAcentral.
AAUAGAUACCCCGGUAGUCCACGCCGUAAACGAUGAGUGCUAAGUGUUAGAGGGUUUCCGCCCUUUAGUGCUGCAGCUAACGCAUUAAGCACUCCGCCUGGGGAGUACGGCCGCAAGGCUGAAACUCAAAGGAAUUGACGGGGGCCCGCACAAGCGGUGGAGCAUGUGGUUUAAUUCGAAGCAACGCGAAGAACCUUACCAGGUCUUGACAUCCUCUGCCAACCCUAGAGAUAGGGCGUUCCCCUUCGGGGGACAGAGUGACAGGUGGUGCAUGGUUGUCGUCAGCUCGUGUCGUGAGAUGUUGGGUUAAGUCCCGCAACGAGCGCAACCCUUGAUCUUAGUUGCCAGCAUUCAGUUGGGCACUCUAAGGUGACUGCCGGUGACAAACCGGAGGAAGGUGGGGAUGACGUCAAAUCAUCAUGCCCCUAUGACCUGGGCUACACACGUGCUACAAUGGAUGGUACAAAGAGCAGCGAACCCGCGAGGGUAAGCCAAUCUCAUAAAGCCAUUCUCAGUUCGGA